Molecule: ribosomal RNA, 372 nt
Filed under: uncultured organism
Description: partial 16S ribosomal RNA
Rfam family: Bacterial small subunit ribosomal RNA
Source: RNAcentral
GUAGGUGGCAAGCGUUGUCCGGAAUUAUUGGGCGUAAAGCGCGCGCAGGUGGUUCUUUAAGUCUGAUGUGAAAGCCCCCGGGCUCAACCGGGGAGGGUCAUUGGAAACUGGGGAACUUGAGUGCAGGAGAGGAAAGUGGAAUUCCACGUGUAGCGGUGAAAUGCGUAGAUAUGUGGAGGAACACCAGUGGCGAAGGCGACUUUCUGGCCUGUAACUGACACUGAGGCGCGAAAGCGUGGGGAGCAAACAGGAUUAGAUACCCUGGUAGUCCACGCCAUAAACGAUGAGUGCUAAGUGUUGGGGGGUUUCCGCCCCUCAGUGCUGCAGCUAACGCAUUAAGCACUCCGCCUGGGGAGUACGGUCGCAAGACUG